This 288-nucleotide long non-coding RNA is filed under the name Homo sapiens (human). RNAcentral describes it as "long non-coding RNA NONHSAT172629.1". Lineage: Eukaryota; Metazoa; Chordata; Mammalia; Primates; Hominidae. The record is from RNAcentral.
UCUUUUGUUGCGAGCACAGUUGGUAGCCUCACGUUUCAGUACAGACCUGCAACAAUUAAUACAUGAGAUCCACUCCUGAGAAAGCACUUUCUACUUGUCUGGACUGAAUAUCGGUUUGGUUGGAAAGAUGAAGCCCCGACUACCCCAGAGCAUCUCUGAGAUUUUGUUCUGUUCUAUUGUUUCAGAGCAAGGAAAGAGGGCAGAGGGGCUUCUCCCAGGAGGAGCUGGAGACGUGCAUGAUUAACCAGGUGAGUGCAGCUGGGCUUGCACCACGUACAUCUGGGGAAG